RNAcentral lists this ribosomal RNA (253 nucleotides) under uncultured bacterium. RNAcentral's name for it is "partial 16S ribosomal RNA". It matches the Rfam family "Bacterial small subunit ribosomal RNA", at positions 524 to 776 of the family's 1533-position model. The record is from RNAcentral.
UACGUAGGGACCAAGCGUUGUCCGGAAUCAUUAGGCGUAAAGAGCGUGUAGGCGGCUUGUUAAGUCUUGCGUGAAAUCUCGGGGCUCAACCCCGAGCGGUCGUGAGAAACUGGCAGGCUAGAGUGCGGGAGAGGAGAGUGGAAUUCCUGGUGUAGCGGUGAAAUGCGCAGAUAUCAGGAAGAACACCCGUGGCGAAGGCGGCUCUCUGGAACGCAACUGACGCUGAGACGCGAAAGCGUGGGGAGCAAACAGG